Molecule: ribosomal RNA, 909 nt
Filed under: Macrophomina phaseolina
Lineage: Eukaryota; Fungi; Ascomycota; Dothideomycetes; Botryosphaeriales; Botryosphaeriaceae
Description: LSU rRNA
Rfam family: Eukaryotic large subunit ribosomal RNA
Source: RNAcentral
UAGCAUAUCAAUAAGCGGAGGAAAAGAAACCAACAGGGAUUGCCUUAGUAACGGCGAGUGAAGCGGCAACAGCUCAAAUUUGAAAGCUGGCUCCUUCGGAGUCCGCGUUGUAAUUUGUAGAGGAUGAUUCGGCGAGGGCUCCCGCCUAAGUCCCCUGGAACGGGGCGUCAUAGAGGGUGAGAAUCCCGUAUGCGGUGGGUUGCCUUAGCCAUGUGAAUCUCCUUCGACGAGUCGAGUUGUUUGGGAAUGCAGCUCUAAAUGGGAGGUAAAUUUCUUCUAAAGCUAAAUACCGGCCAGAGACCGAUAGCGCACAAGUAGAGUGAUCGAAAGAUGAAAAGCACUUUGGAAAGAGAGUUAAAAAGUACGUGAAAUUGUUGAAAGGGAAGCGCUUGCAGCCAGACUUGUCCGCAGUUGCUCAACCGGUCUCCUGACCGGUGUACUCUUCUGCGGCCAGGCCAGCAUCAGUUCGGGCGGUCGGAUAAAGGCCCUGGGAAUGUAGCUCCUCUCGGGGAGUGUUAUAGCCCAGGGUGGAAUGCGGCCAGCCUGGACUGAGGAUCUCGCUUCGGCUAGGAUGCUGGCGUAAUGGCUGUAAGCGGCCCGUCUUGAAACACGGACCAAGGAGUCUAACAUCUAUGCGAGUGUUUGGGUGUCAAACCCAUGCGCGUAAUGAAAGUGAACGGAGGUGGGAACCCUCACGGGUGCACCAUCGACCGAUCCUGAUGUCUUCGGAUGGAUUUGAGUAAGAGCAUAGCUGUUGGGACCCGAAAGAUGGUGAACUAUGCCUGAAUAGGGUGAAGCCAGAGGAAACUCUGGUGGAGGCUCGCAGCGGUUCUGACGUGCAAAUCGAUCGUCAAAUUUGGGUAUAGGGGCGAAAGACUAAUCGAACCAUCUAGUAGCUGGUUCCUGCGA